GCGAAAUAUUACAAUCGAAAGUGUAUUAAAGUUUUGAUGGAUGUCGCAAAACAAGAAGUUAUGGAUAUCUUAGAUAUAUAACACAAUUGGCGUUUCACUUUCUUCAUUGAUUAUUCUACAAGAUUUCCGGAAGAUAAAUAGUGUUUGAGUCGAUGUGUUGCAAGCAAGUUUCUAGUGCCUCCAACUCAGGCGUCUAACGUUAAAAAGAUACUGGUUUUUACAGGCUCUGACACCGAGUCUUAGAGGACUUUACUGCGCGAGCCAUCAAAUUAAACUUAAUUGAAUGGGAAGCAUUCUCGUGCUCUUAGAAUUUUGGUAGCCUUUUAUCUUUCCUUUUCAACUUCUCUGUUUCAGCCAACCAAAAGAUGGAAACUAAGACCCUCGUAGCUUUGUUUCUUGUUUCGUGCAUUUUUCUCUCCGUGUCUUUUCAACCCACCGCCUCUCAAAGUCUCCGAUGGGGAAGAGAAUAUGAAGAGGAAGAAGAUAACCAUCGAAUGAAUCCAGUGAAAGCCGCCGACUAUCCCAGGCGAAAAGAGAUGUACAAGACAUUCGAAGACGCCGCAGAGAAGGCCGACUAUGAUGUUAACAGAGGCUGAGUUCUACUGAAAUAUUCGAUACACCAAAACGGACUGGAUUGGACAUUUCAUUGUCACUAUGGAACAUUUACUUUUGAUUGCUGCAUGAUUAUCCGGUAGUUAAGCUUGUAAACGAGUUAAAAACUCUAUAGCAAUAAAACGUAAUCUAAACGAUGUCAGAAUAUAGGGAAAUUUGAUAACAACCCAGGAAUGCUUAUUUACACCCCUCGGCAAGAAGAAAUCGUGGGAGUAAACUGUUUUACAGCGGUUUUCCCCAAAACAACACCCGGAGAUAACACAACAUAUGAUAAAAGUCUGGUGUGUCGAGGCUCUGCAAUCUCUUAGUGCGAAUAGCGGUGCUUAAGGGUACAACGUCGGCACCUUGUUUUUGAUUGCGGUGUUUUUGAGCUUGAAAACGUAGAUCUAGCUGACUGCAUCCCAUUCUGGUUUCAUUGACAGAUGUUCGCUUGUAGAGAGUUUUGAUUGGUUACUAUCGCGCAAACAUGAAAAUGGCAGCAGCGCUAAUUUGUAUAUGGUUUCGUAAUAAACAUUUUUUAUUCACUACUUGAUUAAAGAAAUCUCUAGCGAAGAAAAGCUAUAAUGUACUGACAAGACAACC
Stylophora pistillata is the source of this 1194-nucleotide long non-coding RNA. RefSeq lists it as uncharacterized. Lineage: Eukaryota; Metazoa; Cnidaria; Anthozoa; Scleractinia; Pocilloporidae. The record is from RefSeq and is a predicted model, not a curated record.